This is a long non-coding RNA of Columba livia (rock pigeon), 2048 nucleotides long. RefSeq lists it as uncharacterized. Lineage: Eukaryota; Metazoa; Chordata; Aves; Columbiformes; Columbidae. The transcript has 2 exons. The record is from RefSeq and is a predicted model, not a curated record.
GCAACUGGUGUGGGUGCUGUGCCUGGUGUCCCCAAGCGUCAUCUGCGCCCUGGGAUUGCAGGUACCUUUCCUUCUGCUCUUACGGGGCAUCAUCUUAUGUUUUCUCAGACUAGUGGGUCAAACCUGAAGUCUGAGAUGCUGCGGGUGUCUGUGGAAGCCCAAGGGGUCCAAGCCUGGGUGUUUUGGGGCAGCAGCCAUUGCGGGGGGUUGGCUGGACAAUCCAGCCCCAGUCUGGGUCACCGUGAAUUGCUCCUUGCAAUCCACACUUUGCUCCAGUCCUGGGCCCCAACACACAUCCUUGAGAAACCGUCCAGCCUAGAAUUCACAAAACUAUACGAACUGCUGAGUGUGUCCCUCCCAGGCCACGUGCCCGACACCGGUGACGGCUCCUGGUCCCUCUGCUGCCCUGGCACCAGCUGCCAACGCCUCCACAGCGUCUCUGUUCUGCGGGCUGGUGGGGAGGGGGUGGAUCAGUGCUUGCAGCUGCUCCCCGGCGCUUCCCAUCUCCUCCCUGCUGGCCCAGCACCUGGGGCCUCACCUCACUUCUGAAGUUCAGGUUUAUUACCUUGUGUAUCACGGGCUGUUUGUAACAAAUCACCGCAGAGAGAAAACACAGAGAUUGCAAUGGCUUGGACCAAGCAGCAAACCCAGGGACCUUCAGGAAUGUACGAGGUGCCUCCCAGAGACACGCACCCCUUUCUGAGAGAGAAGGAGGUUAGAUGGUCCCAGACCAAGACAUUACAGCACAUGGUGCUGUGGUCGCUGGCUUGGCUCACCAAAAGGGUGACCACCACUGCUCAACUCUCACCGGUCACACUGAAUCACUCACUCCCUUUGCAGAGCAAUGGGGGAAUGAAUGAGCACAAGGUGCUUUAUCAGCCUCUCAACCCUUGACACAGGGUAGGACUGACCCUCAGGACCCUCGUCCUGUCCCCUUGCACCCCCCACCCCUGCACCAGGCACCUGGGCUCACGUCUGCAAGCUGCCACCCGCUCUCUCGCUGUCCCCAGGGGAGAUGUAUGUGUGUGCUGGGUGCUUUGUCUUGGUAGUUGAGCUUUUUUGUUGUUGUUGUUAUUUUUAAUCCGCAUAUUGUUCUGGAUUUGCGUCAGAGACAGCAGGUUGGAGAAUUGUGCCUGGCUCUUGGAGCAAAACGUGUCCAGGUUGGAAACGCUCCCCCCAGCUCCAGGUUGGAAAUGCUCCCCUCCAGCACAGCUCCGUUGCCCUGCAGCAGCGUCCGCUGGGUCUGGCGGGCUGUGGGACAAGCUGCCAGCCUUUCUCCCACAGCUUUCAACAGCUUUUCAUUCACCACCUGGAGCCCCAAAACUCUUGGUGUAAGACCCAGCGGAGGAGCAGGGGGCAGGGAAGUGGCUCCCAGAGCCAGCCCGAACUGAGGGCUUGGUCCUGCGCUGUGGUGGGAUGCAGCCUCCUGGGGGACAGGAGCUCGAUCUGCCCUGGGGACCUGCAGCAUCCCACCCCCGGGGCCACCAGGAGCUGCCCAAGAGCCGGGCAAAGGCACGUUCCCUGGGAGCACAGAGCUCCUGGUGCAGGGAGUCUGGAGCAUCCCGUGUCCAUCCGUCCCAGCAAGGAGAGCAACGUACCCUUGGUGCAGCCCAUGGGAAAGACAAGAGGCUGGGGCUCAGACGUGGUGACAUCCUUGUCACCGGAGCCAUGGUCACCUUCUCCUCCCUGCCCUGCUCCUUCUCUCCCCACUCCCCACCUGCAAGCAGAGACCCCAUCUUACCUGCCCCGUUCGGCAUCUGCAAUAACCUUUCUGCCUAGAGUUUGCACGCCUCAAGGAAUGAAAAAAUAAACAAACCCACACCAGAAUCUCACUGAAAGCAACAGACUGUUCUCCUCGCAUGUAAAUGUUGCUGCUCUUUUGAUUUUAAAUGGCUUUAAUGCCAAGUUCAUCUGCUAAUUCCCCGCCUGCCCCAUGUGUAUUGUAUAUUAGGAGAAAUGUUGUUCUGUAUCAUGAGCAGUUUAUUUUAUCGAGUUUAAGAGAAAAUCCCAUACUGAGAUGCUGCAGAUAAAUAUUCAUUGUCACAUCU